Molecule: ribosomal RNA, 275 nt
Filed under: uncultured bacterium
Lineage: Bacteria
Description: partial small subunit ribosomal RNA
Rfam family: Bacterial small subunit ribosomal RNA
Source: RNAcentral
AGAACGAACGUUAGCGGCGCGCCUAACACAUGCAAGUCGCACGAGAAAGGGCUUCGGCCCCGGUACAGUGGCGCACGGGUGAGUAACACGUAGAUCAUCUCCCCUCGAGUGGUGGAUAACUCUCCGAAAAGGAGAGCUAAUACAGCAUGAGACCACGGCUUCGUUGAAGCUGCGGCCAAAGCAGGCCUCUACACGUAAGCUUGCGCUUGAGGAUGAGUCUGCGGCCCAUCAGCUAGUUGGUAGGGUAAUGGCCUACCAAGGCUAAGACGGGUAGC